GAGAACGUAGCGAAAUGCGAUAAGUAAUGUGAAUUGCAGAAUUCAGUGAAUCAUCGAAUCUUUGAACGCACAUUGCGCCCGCCAGUAUUCUGGCGGGCAUGCCUGUUCGAGCGUCAUUUCAACCAUCAAGCCCUGCUUGCGUUGGGGUCCUGCGGCUGCCCGCAGGCCCUGAAAACCAGUGGCGGGCUCGCUAGUCACACCGAGCGCAGUAAUACAUCUCGCUUAGGGCGUGCGGCGGGUUCUUGCCGUUAAACACCCCCUUUUUACCAAGGUUGACCUCGGAUCAGGUAGGAAUACCCGCUGAACUUAAGCAUAUCAAUAAGCGGAGGA
This 330-nucleotide unclassified non-coding RNA is filed under the name soil metagenome. Its description in RNAcentral is "partial contains 5.8S ribosomal RNA, internal transcribed spacer 2, and large subunit ribosomal RNA". The stretch from base 2 to 116 matches the Rfam family "5.8S ribosomal RNA", at positions 40 to 154 of the family's 154-position model. The record is from RNAcentral.